RNAcentral lists this ribosomal RNA (330 nucleotides) under uncultured bacterium. RNAcentral describes it as "bacterial SSU rRNA". It matches the Rfam family "Bacterial small subunit ribosomal RNA", at positions 568 to 898 of the family's 1533-position model. The record is from RNAcentral.
UCCGUAGGCGGUGCGGCAAGUCGAUAGUGAAAUCCCUGGGCUUAACUCAGGGGCUGCUAACGAAACUGCCGUGCUAGAGUGUGAGAGAGGCGAGUGGAAUUACGGGUGUAGCGGUGAAAUGCGUAGAUAUUCGUAGGAACAUCCGAGGCGAAAGCGGCUCGCUGGAUCACAACUGACGCUGAGGGACGAAAGCUAGGGGAGCAAACAGGAUUAGAUACCCUGGUAGUCCUAGCCCUAAACCAUCAGGACUUGGGGUUUGCCCUGUACGGGGCAAGUCCCGUAGCUAACGCGUUAAGUCCUGCGCCUGGGGAGUACGGUCGCAAGGCUGAA